CUGGGCGAGCAAACCCAAGAGGUAAAUUAUAUAGCAGAAUAAAUUAUAUUAAGCAGUCUGAAAGAAAAAGGGACCGGCAGGAGUUAGAAAACAGUCAACCGAACACCGUUUCUCUUGAGGCUAUCGAAACUCCAGAAGUUACAGCAACUCUAUCAUGGUUGGAGUUGAAUAAAUUUCCCUGGACUACGGUGUUAUCCCAAUGGGAAGUCAGUUUCCCAGUGAGGAAGAAAUAUCUUCAAAAAUUUAAUAAAGCCAGCUCAGUCAUCCAAACAUAUUCGCAUUUGAGAGAGGAAUAUGGCUAUCAACUUUUAGAUAUUGACUUUCAAAAACUUGGCCUAACAAACCCCCACGGUGGAUGUCAAAAAUGGGAUUCAUUAUUUCAAUCUAUCGCUAAAUUCAUUGCAAAAAGAGCAAAAGAUCCUACAUCUAAAGAGUUAAUUCGGAUAAUCGAGGACUCAAACCAUUCCACCGAUUUACGUUUGUUACACACGCUAUUGGCAUUGAACACCGUUUUGAUUCCAGUAAAAGCUGCAAAAGGAUUCAAGCCAACAGUUGCUACUGCACAAGCGGAUACAUUUCUAUUAGUUUAAAAUCAUAACGAAUUCGAAGCUGAACUGGAAAAAAACAUCAAAGUUUAUGAAGAGCAACAAAUUCCCAUACCUCCAAAGCUGAUUGUACUGGGAGAUAAUCUUGCAUCAAUUACUGGAGAGUGUAUGGUGAUUUACAAGUCUAUAAUAUAUAAGCUUCAAACAAUUGUACGCGGAGUUGAUGUUCUAGUGAAACUUCGCAUCAUAUUAGGACUACCAGUAUCAAAGCUCUCGAAGUUAGUUUGGGUUUUCAUCGAACAAUUCAUAUAUGGUGUUUUGCCGGAUAACGGGUAUUAUCUGUGUGUAAACAAGCUCGUGGAUUAUUUGAAUCAACAGGAAUGAUGAUAGCAUGUUUUGUAGCUACAUGUGCUGACACAUUUGCAACGGCAAAUGAGUUGAUAAUGCACGUGAAAAAUGUUCAUCGACCGCCCGUUUUUUAUGAGUAUAAAUGCACGUUUCCCGCUUGCAUACAAAUUUUUACUAACCUGUAUAGAUACACGAAGCAUUUAAAAAAUCAUAAAUUCAGUUCGGAAUCAGUUGUUACACCUAUACGUUACAAUUACAGAGAAAAUGAUAUUAAUUUAGAAUUUAAUUUGCCAACAAACAAAGUGAGAAAAGUCGAAGGUAAUACGGUACCUACAGAUAACAGUGAUUCUAUAUUAGAUGCUAAUUUAAACGAUUUGAAAAAAUCGGCUGUUGAAUUUACGUUAAACCUACAUCAAAGACCCAAUUUGGCUCGCAGCGAUGUGCGAGAAAUACAGAAAGCUACCCAAAAAUUUUGUUCGAAAGCUGUUGAAAACAUUGAAAAAUAUAGCACAUGCACUGAUAGUACUGAGAUCAAUUACACUUUUAAAAAAUACCUAUCACAAUUGAAGCAUAGUUUUGAUUUUAUAGAUACAGAUCAUAAGUUCUUAAAACACAUAGAGGACAUAGGCAUUUUCAAACCACCAAAUAUAUUAACUUUACAACAAAAUGAGUUGAAAAUCUCUAUUACUGAAGAAUGUCGUAAGUCAUGCUUGGUAUUGAAUCAGAUCGAAUUUCAAAUAAAAUCCUUUUUUCAAAUGGAAAAUAUUUUUUGUAAAACUAUGGAACAUACGCGAAAAUUGGAACGAUCAGGUGAAAUUGUUCAUUUUGUUAAUGGAAAUGUGUACAAGAAGAU
Malaya genurostris is the source of this 1746-nucleotide long non-coding RNA. RefSeq lists it as uncharacterized. The transcript is spliced from 3 exons. Lineage: Eukaryota; Metazoa; Arthropoda; Insecta; Diptera; Culicidae. The record is from RefSeq and is a predicted model, not a curated record.